GGAACCGUGCCUGAAUUCCUAAGGACCACUUUGAUAGAGUGGCUCAUGAGGGUUAAAGUCCCCCCAGUUCCU
RNAcentral lists this transfer RNA (72 nucleotides) under Troglonectes microphthalmus. RNAcentral's name for it is "tRNA-Ile". It matches the Rfam family "tRNA". Rfam says of the family: Transfer RNA (tRNA) molecules are approximately 80 nucleotides in length. Their secondary structure includes four short double-helical elements and three loops (D, anti-codon, and T loops). Lineage: Eukaryota; Metazoa; Chordata; Actinopteri; Cypriniformes; Nemacheilidae. The record is from RNAcentral.